AGGAAAGUAAAAAAGGGCGCAUGGCGGAUGCCUUGGCUCUCGGAGGCGAUGAAGGACGUGAUAAGCUGCGAUAAGCUUUGGGGAGGUGCAAAUGACCUUUGAUCCAGAGAUUUCCGAAUGGGACAACCCAAUAUCUUGAAGAGGUAUUAUCCAACGUUGUUGGAGGCUAACGCAGGGAACUGAAACAUCUUAGUACCUGCAGGAAAAGAAAAUAAACAAUGAUUCCCCCAGUAGUGGCGAGCGAACGGGGAACAGCCCAAACCAUCCAUGUUACGGCAUGGGUGGGGUUGUAGGACUACGCCGUUGCAUGAAGACAUCAGAGAAGAACUUUCUGGAAAGAAAGACCAUAGAGCAUGACAGUUGCGUAUUCGAAUGUUGUCGAAGCAUAGUAGUAUCCUGAGUAGCGCGGAGCACGAGGAAUUCUGCGUGAAUCUGCCGGGACCAUCCGGUAAGGCUAAAUACUCCCGAGAGACCGAUAGCGAACCAGUACCGUGAGGGAAAGGUGAAAAGCACUUCGAACAGAAGAGUGAAAUAGUUCCUGAAACCGUGCGCCUACAAGCGGUCGGAGCUCGUUAAUGAGUGACGGCGUGCCUUUUGCAUAAUGAACCUACGAGUUGCCUUUGCCGGCAAGGUUAAGUGUGACGACACACGUAUCCGAAGCGAAAGCGAGUCUGAACAGGGCGUAUAGUCGGCAGUGGCAGACGCGAAACCAAGUGAUCUACCCUUGGCCAGGUUGAAGGCUGGGUAACACCAGCUGGAGGACCGCACCAAUAAGCGUUGAAAAGCUUCUGGAUGAGCUGAGGGUAGGGGUGAAAGGCUAAUCAAACUUGGAGAUAGCUCGUACUCCCCGAAAUGCAUUUAGGUGCAGCCUUGCGGGUUACUGAUGUGAGGUAGAGCGACUGAUAAGAUGCGAGGGCUUCACCGCCUAUCAAGUCUUGACAAACUCCGAAUGCGCAUCAGUUCUACCGCAGGAGUGAGGGCAUGGGUGCUAAGGUCCGUGCCCGAGAGGAGAAGAAUCCGGACCACCUGCUAAGGUCCCGAAAUGACAGCUAAGUUAAACUAACGAAGUCUGACUGCUAAGACAGCUAGGAUGUUGGCUUGGAAGCAGCCAUUCAUUUAAAGAGUGCGUAACAGCUCACUAGUCGAGGAGUCGGGCGUGGAUAAUAAUCGGGUAUGAAGUUGUCUACCGAAGCAGUGGGAUCAUUUAUAUGAUCGGUAGGGGAGCAUUCCAGUCAGCGUCGAAGGCGUACCGUGAGGUAUUCUGGAGCGUCUGGAAAAGCAAAUGUAGGUAUAAGUAACGAUAAAGGGGGCGGGAAACCCCCUCGCCGAAAGACUAAGGUUUCCUGAUCAACGCUAAUCGGAUCAGGGUCAGUCGGGUCCUAAGGCUCAGCCG
RNAcentral lists this ribosomal RNA (1393 nucleotides) under Phocaeicola vulgatus. RNAcentral describes it as "partial 23S ribosomal RNA". It matches the Rfam family "Bacterial large subunit ribosomal RNA", at positions 1 to 1404 of the family's 2925-position model. The record is from RNAcentral. Lineage: Bacteria; Pseudomonadati; Bacteroidota; Bacteroidia; Bacteroidales; Bacteroidaceae.